This 375-nucleotide ribosomal RNA is filed under the name Stephanodiscus minutulus. Its description in RNAcentral is "SSU rRNA". It matches the Rfam family "Eukaryotic small subunit ribosomal RNA", at positions 594 to 971 of the family's 1831-position model. The record is from RNAcentral. Lineage: Eukaryota; Bacillariophyta; Thalassiosirophyceae; Thalassiosirales; Thalassiosiraceae.
AUAGCGUAUAUUAAAGUUGUUGCAGUUAAAAAGCUCGUAGUUGGAUUUCUGGCAGGAGCGACCGGUCGCGCACUCUGUGCGUGAACUUGGCUGUCUCUGGCCAUCCUUGGGGAGAUCCUGUUUGGCAUUAAGUUGUCGGGCAGGGGAUACCCAUCGUUUACUGUGAAAAAAUUAGAGUGUUUAAAGCAGGCUUAUGCCGUUGAAUAUAUUAGCAUGGAAUAAUAAGAUAGGACUUCGGAACUAUUUUGUUGGUUUGCGUUACGAAGUAAUGAUUAAUAGGGACAGUUGGGGGUAUUCGUAUUCCGUUGUCAGAGGUGAAAUUCUUGGAUUUCCGGAAGACGAACUACUGCGAAAGCAUUUACCAAGGAUGUUUUC